GCCGGGUGUGGUGGCUCAUGCCUGUAAUCCCAGCACUUUGGGAGGCCAAGGCGGGUGGAUCACCUGAGGUCAGGAGUUCGAGACCAGCCUGACCAACAUGGUGAAAACCCGUCUCUA
Molecule: non-coding RNA, 117 nt
Organism: Homo sapiens (human)
Lineage: Eukaryota; Metazoa; Chordata; Mammalia; Primates; Hominidae
Rfam family: Metazoan signal recognition particle RNA
About the family: The signal recognition particle (SRP) is a universally conserved ribonucleoprotein.
Source: Rfam